RNAcentral lists this unclassified non-coding RNA (667 nucleotides) under uncultured cyanobacterium. RNAcentral's name for it is "partial contains 16S ribosomal RNA, 16S-23S ribosomal RNA intergenic spacer, and 23S ribosomal RNA". The stretch from base 1 to 292 matches the Rfam family "Bacterial small subunit ribosomal RNA", at positions 1247 to 1533 of the family's 1533-position model. The record is from RNAcentral. Lineage: Bacteria; Bacillati; Cyanobacteriota.
CAGCAAGCUCGCGAGAGUAAGCGAAUCUCAUCAAACCCAGCCACAGUUCAGAUUGCAGGCUGCAACUCGCCUGCACGAAGUAGGAAUCGCUAGUAAUCGCAGGUCAGCAUACUGCGGUGAAUUCGUUCCCGGGCCUUGUACACACCGCCCGUCACACCAUGGAAGCUGGCUACGCCCGAAGUCGUUACCCUAACCCGGUUUUGGGAGGGGGAUGCCGAAGGUAGAGCUAGUGACUGGGGUGAAGUCGUAACAAGGUAGCCGUACCGGAAGGUGUGGCUGGAUCACCUCCUUUACAGGGAGACCUAGUCUAAUUACCAAUAGAUGAAAAAGUUGGUAAUUCGCCAGAAUCCUUAGGUCGUGAAGGGAGCAAGAAAAAACUUUCAAACUGUAAUGGGUGAGGGUCAAUGGGCUAUUAGCUCAGGUGGUUAGAGCGCACCCCUGAUAAGGGUGAGGUCCCUGGUUCAAGUCCAGGAUGGCCCACCUGAAAUACACAGGCAUCCUGCCUGUGCCACAAAAAAAGGAAAAAAUUUUAGCAUUGUCUCUUGUAAGCAAGAGCAAGAGAUAAUGCUGGAAUCUAUUCCAGCAAGAACCUUGAAAACUGCAUAGAACUAGAAAGAAAAAGUCAGGUAGAAAAUCCUACAAGCUAGAGCUAGAAAGAGCAAAAGGU